AUUGGAACACAAUUGGACCCUCAUCCAUCCCAGCUAAUGAGUCUACAACAGUAGCACACAAUUCCACAAUUGGACCAUCACCCACCUCAGCUAAUGCCUCUAAACUAACAGAGAAUUCCACAGUUAGACCAUCAACCACUCCAGCUAAUGAAUCUAAACCAGCAGGUACCAUUUUUUUUUCAAUUGUAGAUUCAGAUAUACAGCUCUGGAGAAAGAUAAGAGACCACU
This 228-nucleotide long non-coding RNA is filed under the name Astyanax mexicanus (Mexican tetra). RNAcentral describes it as "lncRNA (ENSAMXG00005017907.1)". The record is from RNAcentral. Lineage: Eukaryota; Metazoa; Chordata; Actinopteri; Characiformes; Acestrorhamphidae.